UACCGACUGCAUCUGGUUCCUCGCUGCCA
Molecule: non-coding RNA, 29 nt
Filed under: Mus musculus (house mouse)
Lineage: Eukaryota; Metazoa; Chordata; Mammalia; Rodentia; Muridae
Source: RNAcentral